This 466-nucleotide ribosomal RNA is filed under the name uncultured bacterium. Its description in RNAcentral is "partial 16S ribosomal RNA". It matches the Rfam family "Bacterial small subunit ribosomal RNA", at positions 28 to 507 of the family's 1533-position model. The record is from RNAcentral.
GAUGAACGCUGGCGGCGUGCUUAACACAUGCAAGUCGAACGGAAAGGCCCAAGCUUGCUUGGGUGCUCGAGUGGCGAACGGGUGAGUAACACGUGGGUGAUCUGCCCUGCACUUUGGGAUAAGCCUGGGAAACUGGGUCUAAUACCGGAUAGGACCAUCGUUUAGUGUCGGUGGUGGAAAGUUUUUCGGUGUGGGAUGAGCUCGCGGCCUAUCAGCUUGUUGGUGGGGUAAUGGCCUACCAAGGCGUCGACGGGUAGCCGGCCUGAGAGGGUGUACGGCCACAUUGGGACUGAGAUACGGCCCAGACUCCUACGGGAGGCAGCAGUGGGGAAUAUUGCACAAUGGGCGCAAGCCUGAUGCAGAGACGCCGCGUAGGGGAUGACGGCCUUCGGGUUGUAAACUCCUUUCGCCAAGGACGAAGCGUUUUGUGACGGUACUUGGAGAAGAAGCACCGGCUAACUACGUG